GUGCCAGCCGCUGCGGUAAUACGUAGGGUGCAAGCGUUAAUCGGAAUUACUGGGCGUAAAGCGUGCGCAGGCGGUUCGGAAAGAAAGAUGUGAAAUCCCAGGGCUCAACCUUGGAACUGCAUUUUUAACUCCCGGACUAGAGUAUGUCAGAGGGGGUGGAAUUCCACGUGUAGCAGUGAAAUGCGUAGAUAUGUGGAGGAACACCGAUGGCGAAGGCAGCCCCCUGGGAUAAUACUGACGCUCAUGCACGAAAGCGUGGGAGCAAACAGGAUUAGAUACCCUGGUAGUCCACGCCCUAACGAUGUCAACUAGCUGUUGGGCCCUUCGGGCUUAGUAGCGCAGCUAACGCGUGAGUUGACCGCCUGGGAGUACGGUCGCAAG
RNAcentral lists this ribosomal RNA (381 nucleotides) under uncultured Advenella sp. Its description in RNAcentral is "bacterial SSU rRNA". It matches the Rfam family "Bacterial small subunit ribosomal RNA", at positions 505 to 892 of the family's 1533-position model. Lineage: Bacteria; Pseudomonadati; Pseudomonadota; Betaproteobacteria; Burkholderiales; Alcaligenaceae. The record is from RNAcentral.